GUGACAUACCUUUAUGUUGCCUCGGCGGAUCAGCCCGCGCCCCGUAAAACGGGACGGCCCGCCGCAGGAACCACAAAACUCUGAUUUUAGUGUAACUUCUGAGUCUAAAAAACAAAUAAAUCAAAACUUUCAACAACGGAUCUCUUGGUUCUGGCAUCGAUGAAGAACGCAGCAAAAUGCGAUAAGUAAUGUGAAUUGCAGAAUUCAGUGAAUCAUCGAAUCUUUGAACGCACAUUGCGCCCGCCAGUAUUCUGGCGGGCAUGCCUGUUCGAGCGUCAUUUCAACCCUCAAGCCCCCGGGUUUGGUGUUGGGGAUCGGGCUGUACUCCAGCCCGGCCCCGAAAUCUAGUGGCGGUCUCGCUGCAGCCUCCAUUGCGUAGUAGCUAACACCUCGCAACUGGAACGCGGCGCGGCCAAGCCGUUAAACCCCCAACUUCUGAAUGUUGACCUCGGAUCAGGUAGGAAUACCCGCUGAACUUAAGCAUAUCAAUAA
This 492-nucleotide ribosomal RNA is filed under the name Fusarium brachygibbosum. Its description in RNAcentral is "eukaryotic LSU rRNA". The stretch from base 125 to 278 matches the Rfam family "5.8S ribosomal RNA". The record is from RNAcentral. Lineage: Eukaryota; Fungi; Ascomycota; Sordariomycetes; Hypocreales; Nectriaceae.